Molecule: long non-coding RNA, 1770 nt
Organism: Temnothorax curvispinosus
Lineage: Eukaryota; Metazoa; Arthropoda; Insecta; Hymenoptera; Formicidae
Exons: 3
Source: RefSeq, a predicted model, not a curated record
CCCUCUCGCCGGGAGAGCCGCACACAUAAAAGUGCGCGCGCAGUGCUCCUCUCUCGUUCUCUCCUCUGGCCAUCCGCCCACUCGAUAUUCGUCGGUGUCCCGGCCACGUGAUUCCCCUCUCGGGCCUCUCUCAUCUCCUUGGCCCGGCAUAGGGUUUCACGGGAGGAAGAACGGAUGGAGGGAAGGAGGGCGGAAAAAGACGGAGCAAGAGUCUUCGGCGAAGUGCGAUUACCGCAGACUCGCAGAAUCCUUCGGCUUUUCUUCCCCUCUCUCCGCGUCGCCACCUUUCGCUCUUCGCUUCCCCCGCGUCUUCUUUCUUCUCUCUUCUUUUUUUUUCACUUCCUUCCGAUGCGAAGCUACCGUCGGGAUGUUCCUACGUGCACGUCUCUCGUACCGAGGGACGAAAGACGUGGGUAUUGAUCAGAGCCCGCCGCGGCUGCGGAAGUAGCCGACAUUAUUUCACGGGGAACCGGCUGUCUCCUCGUGUUCGCUCGCUGUUUAACGCUCAUCCGUUCGCUUUUAUUAAUUAGACGGCCAAACAAUCUUCCAUUUUAUAUGUUUUACGAUAUUGAGAAACUUGCUGAACGCGAGGGGGAUGGUCUAUUGAAGGACUAAACAGGCUGCUCUUGUGCUAACAUGUAUCGUGAAAUGGACAGGACUUUCGAGGGACUUCCCACGCAUCUGAAAAUUCAGUUUGACAUCAUCCGUCAUCCAGAAAACGCUUGAAUGCAGCCGAGCGGUCGAGGGCAAUCGAGGAAUGAACCGUGGUGAUCGCCGAGUAGCUAUCAACGGAUUUGCGGUAUCCUAAUCGGCAAGGGUAGCUAAUCGAGGCGUUCCAUCGAGAAACCGUCGGGACACGGGGAUUACUCGCUUAUGCGUGUUAAGCUCUCAACGAGCUGUUACACCGUAAAGCUCCAUUAGGGUCUCGAAAACAUCUCCGCGAGAUGCGCGGCCUAUUGCGGCGAUCGACGGGCUCUCCCUCAAGGACAAUUUUCACGUCUGUCAAGAAUGGCGCGAGCCCAGGCGGCAAAAAGUGAGGACGAUCGACUGCUACAGCCGAGGGCUGCUGUAGCAAGCUGUUUUCCCGACCGAUGGCGGACAGAUGACGGUGGGAGCCGGAGAGGAGCUUAACAAAUGGUCAUUCGGUCGUUGCCACGAAACGCACCUACUUGAGAUGCGGAGGAUCUAUGGCUCCCAUUUCUCACCGGGCGCUUUGCGGCCGGAACAAUACCCUAAGCGGGGCCGCGCGUAAGAACUGUUGGGACACCCGAGAAGGACUCCCUGAGCAGGUUGAUCACCGUCACGUGGCUUCCGGGGAAUCUUACCGAAAUACUACGGCGAAACACAAGAGAGGACUUGGUGAAGCAAUGUAGUGUAAUAACGAAGAAAAUCUACGUCCUAGGGAAACCGUGUAGCUCAUAUUGUUUUAUAUACUAAAUGAGAUGAAUGCGUACUGAUCUUUUAAUAAAUGACUAUUAUAUUUAAAUAUUAUGUCUCGUGGAGACAGGUAUUUUUUUUAAAUAGCUGAAUGAAUAUAGCGUUACAGGCUGAAAACAUGAUUUCUUGAGACAAUACUGUCAUAACCGCGACGAGCAAUUCUGUUAGACUUCUCAUCAAUUUAUUUGAUUAUUCCUUUUUUCCUUUUCUUGGUUAUAUAUGUAUUAUGGACCAAAUAAAGCAAGAGUGAUGUUGCUAGAGAAACGAUGAGAGCUUAGUAUGGAAGUGAAUUUAUAGACACUGGGUUAUGCGGCGCAAGCUGUCAAACGAUCA